AGAGUUUGAUCCUGGCUCAGGAUGACCUCUAGCGACAGGCUUAACACAUGCAAGUCGAGGGGCAGCGGGGUUGUAGCAAUACAACUGCCGGCGACCGGCGCACGGGUGAGUAACACGUAUGUAACCUGCCCUCUGCAGGGGGAUAAGCGGAAGAAAUUCCGUCUAAUACCGCAUGAUACAAUUUGGAGACAUCUCCGGGUUGUCAAAGGAGUGAUUCGGCAGAGGAUGGGCAUGCGGCGCAUUAGCUAGUCGGCGGGGUAACGGCCCACCGAGGCUACGAUGCGUAGGGGUUCUGAGAGGAAGGUCCCCCACACUGGUACUGAGACACGGACCAGACUCCUACGGGAGGCAGCAGUGAGGAAUAUUGGUCAAUGGGCGGAAGCCUGAACCAGCCAAGUCGCGUGAGGGAAGACGGUCCUAUGGAUUGUAAACCUCUUUUGCAGGGGAGCAAGGCGCGGUACGUGUACCGCGAAGGAGAGUACCCUGAGAAAAAGCAUCGGCUAACUCCGUGCCAGCAGCCGCGGUAAUACGGAGGAUGCGAGCGUCAUCCGGAUUUAUUGGGUUUAAAGGGUGCGCAGGCGGACUGUUAAGUCAGCGGUAAAAUGUCGGUGCUCAACACCGGCCGGCCGUUGAAACUGGCAGCCUUGAGUGAGCGAGAAGUAUGCGGAAUGCGUGGUGUAGCGGUGAAAUGCAUAGAUAUCACGCAGAACUCCGAUUGCGAAGGCAGCAUACCGGCGCUCAACUGACGCUCAGGCACGAAAGCGUGGGUAUCGAACAGGCUUAGAUACCCUGGUAGUCCACGCAGUAAACGAUGAAUGCUCACUGUCCGGGCCGUUUAAGGCCUGGGUGGUCAAGCGAAAGCGUUAAGCAUUCCACCUGGGGAGUACGCCGGCAACGGUGAAACUCAAAGGAAUUGACGGGGGCCCGCACAAGCGGAGGAACAUGUGGUUUAAUUCGAUGAUACGCGAGGAACCUUACCCGGGCUCAAACGGAAGGGGACAGUAUGAGAAAUCAUACAUUCCUUCGGGACCGCUUCCGAGGUGCUGCAUGGUUGUCGUCAGCUCGUGCCGUGAGGUGUCGGCUUAAGUGCCAUAACGAGCGCAACCCCUAUCGACAGUUGCUAGCAGGUAAAGCUGAGGACUCUGUCGAGACUGCCGGCGCAAGCUGUGAGGAAGGCGGGGAUGACGUCAAAUCAGCACGGCCCUUACGUCCGGGGCGACACACGUGUUACAAUGGCAGGUACAGCGGGAGGCCACCCGGCGACGGGGCGCAGAACCCGAAAACCUGUCUCAGUUCGGAUUGGAGUCUGCAACCCGACUCCAUGAAGCUGGAUUCGCUAGUAAUCGCGCAUCAGCCACGGCGCGGUGAAUACGUUCCCGGGCCUUGCACACAAAGCCCGUCAAG
This 1404-nucleotide ribosomal RNA is filed under the name uncultured bacterium. RNAcentral's name for it is "partial 16S ribosomal RNA". It matches the Rfam family "Bacterial small subunit ribosomal RNA". The record is from RNAcentral.